RNAcentral lists this ribosomal RNA (590 nucleotides) under Escherichia coli. Its description in RNAcentral is "partial 23S ribosomal RNA". It matches the Rfam family "Bacterial large subunit ribosomal RNA", at positions 1 to 630 of the family's 2925-position model. The record is from RNAcentral. Lineage: Bacteria; Pseudomonadati; Pseudomonadota; Gammaproteobacteria; Enterobacterales; Enterobacteriaceae.
GGUUAAGCGACUAAGCGUACACGGUGGAUGCCCUGGCAGUCAGAGGCGAUGAAGGACGUGCUAAUCUGCGAUAAGCGUCGGUAAGGUGAUAUGAACCGUUAUAACCGGCGAUUUCCGAAUGGGGAAACCCAGUGUGUUUCGACACACUAUCAUUAACUGAAUCCAUAGGUUAAUGAGGCGAACCGGGGGAACUGAAACAUCUAAGUACCCCGAGGAAAAGAAAUCAACCGAGAUUCCCCCAGUAGCGGCGAGCGAACGGGGAGCAGCCCAGAGCCUGAAUCAGUGUGUGUGUUAGUGGAAGCGUCUGGAAAGGCGCGCGAUACAGGGUGACAGCCCCGUACACAAAAAUGCACAUAUUGUGAGCUCGAUGAGUAGGGCGGGACACGUGGUAUCCUGUCUGAAUAUGGGGGGACCAUCCUCCAAGGCUAAAUACUCCUGACUGACCGAUAGUGAACCAGUACCGUGAGGGAAAGGCGAAAAGAACCCCGGCGAGGGGAGUGAAAAAGAACCUGAAACCGUGUACGUACAAGCAGUGGGAGCACGCUUAGGCGUGUGACUGCGUACCUUUUGUAUAAUGGGUCAGCGACUUA